RNAcentral lists this non-coding RNA (845 nucleotides) under Pan troglodytes (chimpanzee). The record is from RNAcentral. RNAcentral also lists the same sequence under 1 other name. Lineage: Eukaryota; Metazoa; Chordata; Mammalia; Primates; Hominidae.
UUCCUCCUUGGAAGUUUAGCCUGUUAACUUUCAGGAAGUUUUGUACUCAGAUUCCCACAGUCAGUAUUCUGCCAGUGGUGGUGUUUCAUUUUGUUCAAAGAUAUAUAAAUUUUUCUUUUCCUUUUUCUAUAUUUCUUUUUUUUUUUUUUUCUCUUAGAGCCAUUGCUGCUGAGAUUGUUCUAAAGGGACAAAGAGAGGUCCACCGUUUAUAUCAGAGAGCCUUACAGAAGUUACCUCUUUGUGCAUCACUGUGGAAAGAUGUAAUGCUUUUUAUCUUUUAUUUUAUCUCGAUGUUUUCCUGUAAAUUUUCUGCAUGUGCCAUAUCCAUUGAUGUGGUAAUGCUCAAACUCUAGCUAAGUCUUACUUCUAUGCUUCCCUGUCUUUUACAGCAACUCUUGUUUGAAGCAUCAGAAGGAGGUAAAACUGAUAACCUGAGAAAACUAGUUUCCAAGUGCCAAGAGAUUGGAGUCAGCCUAAAUGAGCUCUUAAAUUUAAACAGUAACAAAACAGAAAGCAAGAAUCACUGAACACUGGGUGCAGUCAGUUCUAAGUCCUUAUAAUAAUUGCCAAAAUUAUUUGAAUGAUUCUUCAAGAUUAGGCUGAUCCCUGGCUAAGGUCUGUGUAAGGCAGACAAGCGUUAUUGAUCAUAUCAAGUUCCCUACAAUAUCCUGUCCUCAAAACCGGAAGCAAUGAACAUGAUCCUCUUCGGUUGGAUAAAUGAACUUCCUGUUUGGCCUGCUUCUAGGCCCUGCCAGAUUCUCAUAACAUCAUAUACGUAAGUAUAGUUCCUCAAAGUGACUGACAUUUAUUUUAAUUUUGCUUUGUUUUUUUUUAUUUUCUCCCCC